RNAcentral lists this long non-coding RNA (3578 nucleotides) under Homo sapiens (human). RNAcentral describes it as "HSALNT0097189". Lineage: Eukaryota; Metazoa; Chordata; Mammalia; Primates; Hominidae. The record is from RNAcentral.
CUUAGAAAAAAAGUCAGCAUUCAUUUCUUUGCACAUGUAGGGAACACUACCAGAGGCAGAAAAAAAAAGUAACUUUUAUUUUUCCUGAGUGAAAUACAAAAAAAAAAGCAGUUAUAUGGAAUAGACUUUGUACUUGUUUGUACUGGAAUUUUACAUAGGGAAAAGGUGAGAUACUUAUCAGAUGGAUUGCAUUUAGUGUUACAUGUAGAGGAAGAGGAAGAAUGCAUAAUUACUUUCUAAAUUAGAGUAACAGAUAAGGCAAUUGGAAGGUGAAUAUGGAGAGAGAUUUAGCAUUGAGGUCAGCAAGGGACUCUUAUAAAAAGCCCUGAAAACCACAGUUACUAAGAAUCUGUGAAGGGCCUGGAUGUCAGUGAUCCCAUUCAGGCAAAAUGAAGUUAAGUUUGCAGACUUGGGAGAAAAAAAUGAUCUAGAAGAAAACGCACAUGAUUUAGCAUUGUAAUCUCUACACAUUGAUUGCCACUUUGCAUAAACCAAAUAAAUAUUACUUUCAUAAAGUUUGGUAUUAAUUUCACAGAAUUCAAAACGCAGAUAUACUUUACCUUACACCAAAGUCAGGAUCCUCUAAAGUGGCAAUUAAAUCAUGUUUUAUAAUUACACACAGUGGUAUUUCAAGGCUGAUUUGAACUUUUUAAUGACGGCUUUGUGCUAUCUUAUUUGAAAUAGUCGAUUGUUGCAAUUCAUUAACUGUUUUUAUUUGUUGUCACGGAUUUUAAAGUCAACUUUUAAUUUGAGAACAGAUUUAGAUUUACAGUAACAUUGUGAACCUAGUACAGAGAGUUCCCCUAUACUCCACACCCAAUUCCACCUGUUUCUAAUAUCUUACUUUACUGUGGUUCAUUUGUCACAAUAUCAAUUGUGACUAAUAUCGAUACAUUACCAUCGGCUAACAUCCAUCAGAAUUCCUUAGUUUUAACCUAAUGGCCUUGUUCUACUCGAGGACCCCGCCCAGGAUACCACAUCUCAUUUAUUAGCCAUCUCUCCUUAGGCGUCUGUUGACUAUGACAGUUUCUCAGACUUCUCUUGAUUUUGAUGACCGACAGUAUUAAGGACUGCUAACCAGAUGUUUUGUAGAAUAUCCUCAACUGAGACUUCUCUGAUUUUUUUUCCAUAAUUAGACAGAAGUUAUGGGUUGUGGGGAGGAGGACCACACAGGUAAUGUGCCAUGCUCAUCACAUUGUGUCAAGAGUACAUACUCCUCACAUGACUAAUCACUUGACCAAGUGUUCACAAGUGCCCAUUUCUUAUCCUCUGCUUUGCCUUGACUAGACCCUAGGCCUUGACUAGACCAUAGAUCUCUCCUCUCCACAGAUCCAUGAACUUUGUUUCUUUCAAGCCUGGGCAAACAUUAAUUGCAGAACAUGCCUCCCUUAUCAGUUUAUCCUGAGAAUCAACUUACUACAGCAAGAGGCAUUUCCUGUCUUACCAUGCUGGUCACUCUUCUCCCCUGCUUGACCAAUGUAUUAGUUUGCUAGGGUUGUCAUAACAAAAACACCACAGACUGGGUGACUUAAACAACAAAGUUUAUCUUCUCACGGUACUGGUGGGGAGAAGUCCAAGAUCAAGGUGUCAGGUCUCUCUCCUUGGCUUGCAGGUGGCUGUCUUUUCGCUGUCCUCACCGUGUCUUUUCUUUGCAUGCGUGCAUCCCUGGCAUCUCUCUACAUCCACAUUUUCUCUUCUCACAAGAACGCCAGUCAGAUUGGAUGAGGGCUCAGCCCUACGCCUUCAUUUAACCUAAUUACCUCUUUAAAGGCCCUAUCUCCAAAUACAGUCACAUUCUCAGGUACUGUAGUCCCACCUAAUCCACAGUUUCAGUUUAUGGGGUUCUAGUUACCAAGAUAACUUUGGUCCAAAAAUAAGUGGGUAUAGCACAAUAACAUAUGUUGUUGUUGUUGCUGUUUUCUGAGACAGAGUCUCGCUCUGUUGGCCAGGCUGCAGUGCAGUGGCAGGAUCUCAGCUCACUGCAACCUCUAUCUCCUGGGCUCAAGCAAUUCUCCUGCCUCAGCCUCCCCAGUAGCUGGGAUUACAGGUGCCUGCCACCGCACCCAAAUAAUUUAUAUAUUUUUAGUAGAGAUGGAGUUUCACCUUUGGCCAGGCUGGUCUUGAACUCCUGACCUCAAGUGAUCUGCCCGCCUCGGCCUCCCAAAGUGCUGGGAUUACAGGUGUGAGCCACCACACCUGGCCCACAAUAACAUAUUUUGAGAGAGACAGUGACCACAUUCACAUAACUUUUGUUACAGUACAAUGUUAUGAUUGUUCUAAUAUUAUUGUUGCUAAAUCUCUUAUUGUGCCUAAUUUAUACAUUAAACUUGAUCACAGUUAUGCAUGAGUAGAAAAUACAGAAUGUAUAUAGGGUUUGUACUAUCUGGUAUCUACUUAAAGUAUCUACUGUCGGUCUUGGAAUGUAUCCCCUACAGUUAAAGGGAGACUACUGUCCCGGGGAUGAGGAUUUUAAGAUGUGAAUACGGUGGCACAAUUCAGCUCAUAGCACACAAUUUGCUUUUAUAUACUGCUUAUCCCUUCUUACUCUAUUAAAGAAGAGCCUUUUACUGUUAAAUUUUGAGACACUUGCAGAUUUCUGAGAUCAGAGCUAUCUACCUGUUACAAUAGUCUUUUUGAAUAAAGUUUCUCUUUCUCUGAGGAGUCCAGAUUUGUUUUUAUUGGAUACACUUUUGAUGUUGAUUGUCACCACGUGAGUGAGGUAACAUCUGUCAGAUUUUGCCACUAUAAAACCCCUGUUCCUCCUGCCCCUUUUUAAUAGUGAAGCCUAUGGAAAGCAGUCAGUAAAAGCAUCCAACACUGAAGGAGUGGAGAAUUAUGCCCCAUGUUCGUUAGAGCAGUGUAUUUGCAUGAAUUAUCUGCAAUUUUUUUUUUUUGCAUGGGAGAUUCAUCUACUCUCCCAUUUACUUUUUUCAAGCAUUUAUUUAUAUCAGUAUGGAAUCACGGAUAUUUAUUUAUAUUUUAAGUUAUAUUCUGAAGCUGCUUUACUUUAUUGCUCUAUAAUUGAUUUUUCAACCACAUUUUAAGCCAUCACUCAGUUGAUUGACGUACAUUCAUGAAUCUUAGCCAAACGUCAUUCUGUAAUUCAUCUGAAUAUUUGAUAAAUCCAGGCGUGACCUGCAACUCCAACUGCUUAUCUCCACGAUUGCCUUAAACCAAAGUAAUAGUGCAGGAAAUCCAAAGGUAACUAACUGGUUCUUGUUUCUUAACACAGUGACAACUGAGAACUUUGGAUGCUGUCACCUCGUUAAUAUCAGCACCGAGUACUAGCAGGUAGAAACAAACAGCAUGCAUUCUUCACUGAUACUGGGAGUUUCUUUUGAUUAUUUCAACCUUACCGUUUUGGCUUGGUGACAGUAUUAUGACUAGAGGGAAAGUUAUUGAGUGGUUUGGGAGAUCUGAUUACAACAUGCAUAAUAAAUUUUGAAGUAAGAAAAUGCUGAAGAUGGGUUUUCCUACCCUUGUUCAGACUCUUGGAAAUGUGACUUAUAAAAGGAGGAUUGAAAGAAAAAGGAAAAUAUGAAGCAAUGAAAUGCAUGAUUUUAAAGAACUCAAUUAUG